Non-coding RNA from Gossypium raimondii (Peruvian cotton), 87 nucleotides. The record is from Rfam. Lineage: Eukaryota; Viridiplantae; Streptophyta; Magnoliopsida; Malvales; Malvaceae.
CACGUCAGCGCGUUUUGCUUACGUGGACACAAAUCGUGCCUACGAGGACGCGAUUUUCUGACACAUCAGCAAAGCGCGCUGACGUGG